UACGAAGGGGGCUAGCGUUGCUCGGAAUUACUGGGCGUAAAGCGCACGUAGGCGGCUUGUUAAGUCAGGGGUGAAAUCCUGGAGCUCAACUCCAGAACUGCCUUUGAUACUGGCGAGCUUGAGUUCGGGAGAGGUGAGUGGAACUGCGAGUGUAGAGGUGAAAUUCGUAGAUAUUCGCAAGAACACCCGUGGCGAAGGCGGCUCUCUGGGACGGUACUGACGCUGAGACGCGAAAGCGUGGGGAGCAAACAGG
RNAcentral lists this ribosomal RNA (253 nucleotides) under uncultured bacterium. RNAcentral describes it as "partial 16S ribosomal RNA". It matches the Rfam family "Bacterial small subunit ribosomal RNA", at positions 524 to 776 of the family's 1533-position model. The record is from RNAcentral.